ACAACUCUGCCUUUACAAAAUUAAAACUAAGUUCCCCAAAACCAGAUAUAUUAGUUUGAACAUUGAUAAACUACUUUCCACUUGGACUAGAAAUGUAUGUGAGGAACUAGAAGUUAAAUUAGAACUAAAAAGAGUUGAACAAAUCUGACUUGUAGUUCUAGUAGUACGUCAUGCAUGAAAUAUUUUACCUCUAUUCAAAUUAGAUGUUCCACUUUCAUCAACCCCUAACCAAUAUCACUAAUUAUAUCAUCAGAAGAAGCAUCAUUUAGCUGUGAUCUGGUCAGGUUACAAACAACAUUGAUCGACUGCUAUUGGAUAUUAUAUAUGUGUGUAUAUUUUUGGUGAUAAUCUAUUUGUAUACAUUAAAAUUACAUAUAAACGUGCUUUUAGAAAAUAUUUUAUAUGAUCUAGAGACUCGAAAACCAGGGGCUCUAUGUACGAUCUUGAAGUUGCUUUCCAUUUUCCAUCACGUGUAAACUAGCUAGUAUUCGACCCAUCAUUUGCAAAUAAUAUAUGGUCCAAUAUGGUAGGCGGCUGUUCAACUACUUACCAAUGCAUUUGCAUGAGUUGGAAUUUCUAUUCUUAAUAUUCAUAUAAUAAUGAACAAUGCGUAAAAAUUUCCAUGGCAGAGUGCCUAUAAAUUGAAACCAUUUCUUUGGUCCUAACAACUCAACACAGAGCUGUCUCCUACUCCUAGUUCCACGGUUCCACUAUAUCUCUCUCAGUAUAUUUCUCCACUUCUGUCAUCACUCUUCUCUCAGUUAAGAUGGCUGCAGUUGCUCAAGCGUUGGAGAACUCAAAUGUCUCGAGCAUCAAAUCACUAGCUGACUCACAAGCUCUCAACUCUGUGCCUUCUGCAUAUGCCUUCAACAUUAACCCCAAUGAUGAAGCUGAUCCUAAUGACCCUGAGUUUGCCAUUCCCAUUGUUGAUAUGUCUCUUCUCACUUCUGGUUCCCCUGCUCAGCGCGCCCAAAUCGUCCACGAUCUUGUCAAAAUUUGUCAAGAAUGGGGCUUCUUCAUCGUAUGUUAGCUAAUGUUUUCUUUGGUUCUUGUUAUAUAACUCUCUAUGUUAAGCUCUAUCAGUUACGAAUAUGAUCCUAAUUGGUUCACUUGAUUACAGGCAAUUAACCACGGAGUACCAGAGAGUCUGAUGAAGGCGAUGAUUGACGCAUGCCAUGGAUUUUUCAGUCUUCCGGAUGAGGAGAAGAAGGAGUUUAAAUCAGGAAAUGAUGUUCUUGAGAUGUUCAAGUAUGGAACAAGCUAUAAUCUAGCAUUGGACAAAGUACUUUUAUGGAGGGACUUCUUCAAGGUCCGAACACAUCCUGAGUUUUACUCUCUCUACAAGCCAGCUAGCUUCAGGUACAUAUAACUCUUAAGGUUUAUGUGUUACUAUAAUCUAGCAUUUGUCUAUGUGUUACUUCUAAUUCUCAAUUUUUGAUGAUCUCUUUUUUCUCGUACUUUCUUUCAGUGAGGUUUCGCUGGAGUUUAGCCAAAGAAGCAGAGAAGUAGCACUGGAAAUAACAAGAGCAAUAUCAGAAAGCUUGGGGUUGGAGCCGGACUACAUAUAUAACAAAAUGAACAUGAAUCGCGGCCUACAAAUGCUAGCAGGGAACUACUACCCACCUUGCCCUGAGCCUGAGCAUGCCAUCGGUAUACCCCAUCAUACCGAUCAUGGUUUAGUCACACUCCUCAUCCAGAAUGAGAUGAAUGGUCUCCAAGUUGAGCACAAUGGAAAAUGGCUCACAGUCAAUGGCCCUAAGAAUGGUUUUUUUGUUAACCUUGCAGACCAAAUGCAGGUACGUACUACUUGAAAUUUUCUUAAUCUUAAACUUCUAACUUCUGUAUGUCUAUAUCUAUGGUUACUUACACCGGCCGGCACAUCCAUAACAUUGGUGAUUGUUUCAUAGCCUCUGUUGAAUCUAAUUUAAUCUGUACAAUAAAUUUCUGCAGAUCCUUACAAACGGUAAGUACAAGAGUGUGAUGCAUCGCGCCACCGUGAACAACAAAGCUACGAGGAUAUCAAUAGCCAUACCACAUGGACCAUCCGUAGACACGAUCAUCGCACCAGCAGCAGAGUUGUGUGAAAGAGAAGGCCAAGCACCAAAGUACCUUGCAAUGAACUACAAGGAAUACAUCCAACUUCAGCAAAGCGGCAAGAACUACAUGAAGUCCACAUUUGAUCACAUCCGAACUUAGACUAUUAGGUUGUUAUAUACUAUCUUGAACAUCCAGUAGUUUCAAGUUCCUCUAGUUUCUUACUUUCUUUUCAACAUCAUUCUAGUUUUUCUACAAUAAUAGCCAUGCCAUCUUGAGUCUCCGGCCAGCUGAUACUGUAUUGGUGGUGCCAAUUAAAGAGCUUGUAGUAAGACAAUGUAUUUGCAUUAUUGCAUUUAAAAUCAAUCGACAUACAUAGAUUUUGAUCAACAACAAUUAAUAGAUCGAUCAUUUCAUUGUUGUUACUGCUAAAGUGAGGAGAAUGUGAAUUUUGUUAAAAUUCAUAAAAUUAGGACUCUCUAUCCAAUCUAAUGGUUCUAGCAAUCAACACAUCACUUUUCUACCAUUUUUUUUGGUUUUCAUCUAACCCAUGGUUAACUUAGUUUAUAGUAAAAAAAAAAAUUAAAGAAAAAAAAGAAAUUCUCGUUGCCAUGUCUCCUCUGCAUGACUGCAUCAAGUAUAUUCUUUCCACUUCCUUUUACACUUUGCUUUGCUUAACCAUGAAAUUAAUGACCUUUUGCACUGUGUAAAUUAAAUGAUUCACCAAUUUAGUUAAUUGUUUAUCAGAUUGAUCAUGUAUCAUCAAUGUCAAUGGACCUAUCUUCAGCAUAAUCUGCUAUAUCUGUACUAAGUUCAAAAAAUCUAAUCAUGGAGCUGGGUUCUUAAAAUUUAUUCAAAUGAAAUACAAAAUUAAUUGGGAUAGUAAUUCCUCUAUCGAUCGGGUAAAAAGAAAAAAUCAUGGGUUUCUUAUUUGAUUCCUAUAUUCUGGGUAUCUUCAUGUAGAUCUCCAGUAAUGUAAUUCUUGUCAAAACCCUAAUCUUAUGUUAUAUAAAAUACUUCCAAUUUGUACGUAUUACAAUUGAAUAAAUCGCUUCUUGUUAAAUAAAUUAUUAAAAACAAUUGCAAGAAGCCAAUGAUUCCAUGGUUAGUCUGCAACCAUGGAAGCAAAGAGAAGUAGCAGCAAAGAAAGCAGAAAUAAAGAAGGAACUUAAACCACAACCGGAAAUCCUUUAAUUUUUUUAGUUUUUUUUUUUUACUUUAGUAAGUUAACCAUGGUUUAGAUGAAAACAAAAAAAAUGGUAGAAAAGUGAUGUGUCAGUUGUUGGAACCAUUAGAUUGGAUAGAAAGUCUUGAUUUUAUGAAUUUUAACUAAAUUCACACUCUCCUCACUUUAGAGGAGCCGGAUCCGGUUAGUAAUUAGGUCAUAUAUCGAUGUAGUCCUUAGCUUGAUCUCUAGCUAUGAAAACUGCGUAUAAAUGAUCGGUGUUAAAGUACAAAUUUGAUGAUGAAUGUAGUGUCAUAAGCUUAAAGUCGUGUAUUUUUGAGUGAGAAUUUUAUCUCCAACAAUUCGCUAGGUAGCUAAAAAACGGUGCUUGGAUUGAUCCGAGCUAUAUAUAGUUAGAUGAUUAUUCGGGAUGUAUAUUCGAUAUCAGUUCUUGGUUUGACACAUUUAGUAAUUGUCAGUUGUGCAUAGUCUAAGAUCAGAUAUCUUUAAGGUUCCUUUGAAAUUAUGUAAGAUCAUAUUACUUUUCACUUCCUGCAGCGAGUCUUCCAAUGACGAAGCCAUAGGCCUCCCCCAUAACAAUCAGUAACCAAAGAAAUUGAUUAGGUCAAAUAAACUUCUGAACUAAGGGUAUGUUUACUAACCUGGAAUGGAAUUGAGAGUGGUGUAAUUGAUUCCGGAAUGGGUGAAUUCCGGCGUUUACUAAGAGCAUCUCCAACGAACCUGUCAAAUGACAGGGUGGAGGCUCAACAGCUAGUUUUGACAAUUUUUGGUUCCUCCAUUGAAGAUGCCAAAUACGACGUGGCUGUGUCAAUUCCGACCUGGAUUUGACCUUGAGCACAACAUUGUCAAAUUUGACCGUAUGAACCAAGCAUGUCAAAUCUUAUUCUAUUGUUCCUAUUCCUUCUCUCUUCCUUCUCUGCUGAGAAGCUCUCUUCAUCAAAAAGAUCCAAAUUUCAAAACACAAUUUCUCACCACCACCUUCAAAAAGAUCCAAAUUUCAGAAUACAGCUUCUCAUUGGGUCUGUAAAUAAAAUUAGAAGGGAUUUAGAAGAACUGAAUCUUGAAAUUGGGGCUUCGAUUNNNNNNNNNNNNNNNNNNNNNNNNNNNNNNNNNNNNNNNNNNNNNNNNNNNNNNNNNNNUUAAAUUCAUUUCUUGUAGGGGUAUUUUAGUAAUUAAACUAGUUUUAAUUCUGAUUCCAUAUAGUAAGUAAACAACAUCAAUCGUAAUUAAUUUCAUUCAUGUUUUGAUUUUUUAUGGUAAGUAAACAAUAGAAAUAUUGAUACCGAUUGAAAUAUUUUCAUACCGAUUGUUGUUGAUACCGAUUCAUGAUAAUUUUCAUUUCAAGUUAAUUAGUAAACGUGUCCUAAAAUAUAUAAGUAUUUGAUCUGAAUAGUAUGGACCUAAAAAGAAAAAAGGGCAUCCAUGGUUACUUUUACACAAGACAAGAAAGGAUAGGAAUAAGGAUUUAUUGAAUUGAAAGAUGCAAGGCAAGAAAAGUAAAAUGCAAAGGAGAUAUGAAUGCUACAUCUUGUAUUGCUUGAUAGAGAUAUAAAUAGUACAUAGCAUAAUAUUUAUAGGGUAGGUAUUGCUAGUGAAUGACCUUAGUACCUUUUACAUGGUUAACACCCCCUAAACCAUAUGAUAGAGAUAUGAACAGUACAUAACAUAAUAUUCAUAGGGUAGGUAUUGCUAGUGAAUGACCUUAGUACCCUUUACAUGGUUAACACCCCCCCUCAACCAUAUGGUUGGCUAAGCAUAAUGAUUGGCACAAGCAAACAACCAAGAAAUACAGAUAUAGAAUCCAUUACAAAACUACAAACCCAAAUCAAAAUCACAACUACUUGAUACUUGACAUUCUACUGAUAGAGAAGAGAGUAUGCUGGAAGAUUUCAUAGUUCACAAUGGUGAUAGCAAAGACAGAAGAGCAGUAUCAUGAAUAAUCCCAGUCAACAUAGCAGCAAAUGAUGUAAAACUGAAAAUUCCAAUAUGAAAAACUGCAUAUUUCUUCAAUCAUAAAUUGAAAAACUGAAUAGCUGCGUAUGCUACCUUAAGAUGAGAAGAAUCUCUUGAAACUUCAUUUAUAUGCACUAAACACUUGCACAAACCAAUUGAUAAUCUUUGCCACAAUAUAAUUUGUAUUCCACCAGAAAAUACCAGUAGCCCUAUAUCGAUAUAUUGGCAACACAAUAGCAAUUUAAGAAUCUGACUUAAUCUUCAAACUGCAUAUGUACUCUAACAUCUCAAUACAUCUUAACUCCUCUCUAUUUUGAAGCAGCAAUAUGACCAUAGAACAUUAUACACAACAGAUUUGCAGCAACCAUGGUACCAUCUCCUAAAAAUAAACACAACUCGCACACAAGCCACACAUUCAGACCAUAAUCUAACCCACCAAGCCAAAUCACCAGUCCAAAAAACAAAUUAUAAAACUGCUUCGUCACCUUUUUCUCUUGGUUGAUGGCAAACAAACUUUGAUAAGAAAAAUAAAACUAGAAAACUGAUGAAUUGAUCAUAACAACCCAGACUAGAGAGAAAAUCCACGACUCAAGUGAAAGAGAUGCCAAUCUGAAAAAUAGUACCAACUUUGCUGCAUAUAUUGCACUAUACAGAGAUAGAUGCAGAGUUGUACAAGUUCACAAAUAUACUGUAUAAUAACAUCAACUCUCAAUUCUUCUUAGCGUAUCCCAUUCUUCAAUUCCAUAACCAUAUCAAUUAAUGGACAACUUCUACUGUUAUCACCAUCAUAUGCAGCAAUACUACCAUAAACAACAUUACAAAAUCCAUACUACCAGUAGCUAGGCUUCAACUAGAUCAUAGGAAACCAUCUCUCAAAAGUAAACACAACCAGCACACAAAGCCAUACAAAUCAAUUCUGAAUUCCAACUCCUCAACCCAAUUCACUAGUCCAAAAACAAAAGAAAAAUAAACUUCUUCGUCAAUUUUUGACUUCAACUUGAACUUUGAUAAAAAGAAAAUUGGAAAACUGAUGCAGAGCAAAACAAUUGAAUUUCAGAGAGAGAUUUCAUGUUCCAAGUGAUAGAUAUACCUAUAUCAAAAAGAAAUUACCAUCUGCUCUGAAAUUGAAGCAAAGUGCUGGAUGCGCUGAAAUUGGACAAAACGAUUGUGUUUUGGAGGAUGAGUGAAGACCAGAGAAGACCACUAAUAUCUGCCCCUCUGAUGUCAUAGCCAUAUAAACGACGGAAGACUGCGAAUGGAAUCGCAAAAGCCCCAAACCAAAAAUUGAAGACCGAAACUUGAAGCUAGCGCGAUUUGAUUUGACCGGAGCAUGAGAGGAGUCAGUGCCCAGAGUUUGCAAAGCUGAGAACGAAACCGAGAGAGAAGCGGACGAUGACGAACUCAGAGCGGGACAACAAGGCAGGAGAUGCAAAGGAAUCGGGCUAGGGUUUGAAAUUGGGGAAAUUGAAAAUUGAGAUAAAACUAAACUAAAAACGCGGAAGCAAAGCUAUAUUCAGAAGCACAUAGCCCCAGAUCAUGACUAUGGCUCUGAUACCAUGAUAGGAAUCAAGGAUUUAUUGAAUUGAAAGAUGCAAGGUAGAAAAGUAAAACGCAGAGAAGAGAUGAAAUCUACAUCUUGUAUUGCUUGAUAGAGAUAUGAACAGUACAUAGCAUAGUACUAGAUAGCUGACCCCCGCACUAAGGUGUGUGUGAGAGAGAGGGAGAGGGAGAGAGAGAGAGAGAGAGAGAGAGAGAGAGAGAGAGAGAGAGAGAGAGAGAGAGAGANNNNNNNNNNNNNNNNNNNNCCCAGACUGCAGGAUUACUAUUUUACCCCCGCUUUUCUGCUGAUUUACGUCUUUGUCAUCCCAUCGAUAAAUACCUUUUUUGUCUUCUAUUUUUUGGUAAUUUACAAAAUUGCCACUGUCUCUCUCUCUCUCAAACUGAAUGGCAACGUCGUAAAUAAGCAAAGAAGAAGGGACAAAAUGGUAAUUUCUAGAAAAUAAACAGUGUAUGCACAGUGAAGCUCCUCACCUGGAAAUAGAGUAUUGUAAAUUUAUAAGGUAGGUAUUGCUAGUGAAUGACCUUAGUACCCUUUACAUGGUUAACAAGAAAAACCCUAAAAACAAAUCAUUCUCAAGUUCUGACACGUCCUAACGUCGACCAUCCAAUAAUUUCAGUACCUUGGUCUAGGGUUUGAAUUGCAAAGAUAGACACGCCUCCAAUAUCAGUAAAUCUUUGUUGACACACCGAGAGAUCAAUUCUAGGUGCUCCAACAUACACAUUUUGCUGCUCAAAAGCACGAACCCGAUAGCAGUGAUUAUAUCAGAGUCUGUGAGUUAGUCUAUGAAAAUUGAGUACCCAGAAAUUCAGAGAUGAAUAUGAUGAACAUUCUCGCCCGUUAGCUUGAUAAUGCAGCGAUUGCCCUUGGUUCCUUUUGCAUGUGGUAAGAGGAUCACACCAUUAAUUGUGUUUAUGCUUUGUGUGCAAAAUUUGUGAUGAAUUUUCAAAGUUGAGAAACCGUGAUUUUGGUGGGAAUGAAUACUACUGCUACGUACAAGGUAAAUUCUUCUAUAUUAACUAGCUUGCUGUUUCCAUUUUUCUGAAGUUGCUAUGAUAUUUGAAUUAUCAGCACAUUAGUAGUUCUCUGCUAGCUGGCAUUAUUCGAUAUGCAGCUAGCCCAACUCAAAUUGUAUACAUAAUUAGGAAAAUUCCUUUGAUUAAUUCAAUCAGAUGUAAUAUUUUAACUGUUUUUGAAAUACAUCUAUCAAGUUUCCCUUUUUUUUGUUUCUUGACCAAGGAAGAACAGAAGUCCAAGCACUCUACCGCCACAUAUGGAAUAUAAUUUCUUGAGGUUCUAUAUAACGUACAUUAUAAUUUCUGCGGCCCUGCACGCGUACCUCAUUGCUAGGCUGUAAGGCUAUCUCUUCACGCAAUCGUCACCGUUGGACCAAGUGUGGGAUACAAAUUUAUCGACCAUCUUUAUUUGUCUACUAAAAUGUCCACCCUUUUAGUCUAUUGACACAUGUCUUUUCAAAUUAUUUAACUUUAUUCUUGUUAAUAAAAUAGACAUGUAUUAAUAGAUUAAGAGAGUGAGCAUUUUGGUGGGCAAAUAAAAAUAGUCGGUAAAUUUGUAUCUAUUAUGCAUGAUAAAAGAAUCACCAUCUAUCAUAAUGCAUUUCCUUAAUUUGGACCAACUAAUUAACUCUUGCAGAAAUUAAAACCUUUCCUUAGUCAUUGCAUGCAUAUGUUCGAUCGACUGUUCCUGUCUACCUUUGGAUGAUGGUGGCGCGGUGGAAUUUCGUACUGCUUUGAUAUAAGAAAUUCUAGAAUCUUCCAGAUAAAAGGACAAUUAUCACUACGUACGUACUUCUCAUUUUUUCUCGAUCGAAGCUUCCCAGCUUUGCCUCGUCUUUCUUCAGCUUAUCUCUGGAUUUGUUGCAAGUUUACUUCAUUGACUAGCUAGGAGAAACCAGGCUGCUAAUAUUCUUCCAAAGAAUAAAACAAACAAAAGGAAUCCGUUGCAGAAUGGGAGUUAAUUAUUGAUGUUCACAUUCAUGGUCAAUUUGGCAUAAUUAGAUGACUUACAAACUUGAAAUUAUGCGUGUUGGUUUGAAUCUUGUUACAGUUAUAUUGAUUUAAAAGACUUAAGUAUACCAUAUGUAUGUUACGCAAAGAACCAGAUAUUUUCAAAGAAAAUGGGGACAAUAUUAGUAUGAAACAUAGAUAAACUGCGUAUUUGGACUUGGACUAGAAAUGUAUCCAAGGACGAUCGACUAGAAAGUUUAGAAAUAAAAAGAGCUGAACGUACGUACACACUUGAGACUUGUUGUUCUAGUAGUACCUCAUGGGAAAAUUCUACCUCAAUAUAAAUUACAUGUUCCAAUUUCAACCAAUAUCACUAAUUGAUUAAUUAUAUUAACAUCAGAAGAAGAUCAUGUAGCUGUGAUCGAUCUCGUCAGGUUACAGACAAUAACAUUAAUCAACUGCUAUUGGAUAUCAAUAUAUAUAUUUAUCAUCUAGAAGCUCGUAAAAACGUACGUGAUUUUCUUUUGAAAAAUAUGUUGUAUGAAGUAGAAGAUCAACACCAGGCUAGGGGCUCUAGCUGUUGGAAAAUAUGUUGCAUAAUCGUUUAGCCUAAGAAUAUGUUGUACGUGCUCGAUCUUGAAUGCAUUUCAAUUCCUUCACGUGUGCCUUAAACUAGCUUUAGUUCGACCAUCAAUUGCAUAUGGGGACGGGGCAGGCGACUAGCAAUUUAACAUGCAAGAUGCAUAUGCAUCAUUUGGAAUUUCUACUCUUCAUUUUCAUAAUAAUGACAACGUCUGAGAAAUUCCAUUCCACAGUGCCUAUAAAUUGAAACCAUUUCUUAAAAUGAUCACAACAACUCAACACAGAGAUCAGCUAUACUCCUAGUUCCUCUAUCUCUUGCUUUCAGUAUAUUUCUCCCACUCUCUUCUGUCAUCACUCUUCUCUGAAUUAAGAUGGCUGCAGUUUCUCAAGCCUUGGAAACCUCAAAUGUCACAAGCAUCAAAUCACUAGCUGAGUCACCAGCUCUCAGCUCUGUCCCUUCUGCUUAUGCCUUCAACAUUAACCCCAAUGAGGAAGCUGAUCCUAAUGACCCUGAGUUUGCCAUUCCCAUUGUUGAUAUGUCUCUUCUCACCUCUGGUUCUCCUGAUGAGCGCGCGAAGAUCAUCCGCGAUCUUGUCAAAAUCUGUCAAGAAUGGGGCUUCUUCAUCGUAUGUUAACUAAUAUUUAAUGCUUUGGUUCUUGUUAUGUAUGUUUUAUUCUAUCAAUUACGUAAGAAUAUGAAGCUAAUCGGUUUCACUUGAUUACAGGCAGUUAACCACGGAGUACCAGAGAGCCUGAUGAAGGAGAUGAUUGACGCAUGCCAUGGAUUUUUCAGUCUUCCGGAUGAGGAGAAGAAGGAGUUUAAGUCAGGAAAUGAUGUUCUCGAGAUGUUCAAGUGUGGAACAAGCUAUAAUCUAGCAUUGGACAAAGUACUUUUAUGGAGGGACUUCUUCAAGGUUCGAACACAUCCUGAGUUUCACUCUCUCAACAAACCAGCUAGCUUCAGGUACAGCUCUUGAAGAUGAUAGACAAGCGCUCUCAACAUUAAUUUGUCAUAGAAUCUGGACGAAAUAUUUACAGUCUAACUACACUAGCGCACUAAAAUAAUAACAUGUGUAUGUGUUACUUCUAAUUCUCAAUUGACGAUGAUUCCUUUUUCUCAUACUUUCUUUCAGUGUGGUUUCGCUGGAGUUCAGCAGAAGAAGCCGAGAAGUAGCACUGGAAAUAACAAGAGCAAUAUCAGAAAGCUUGGGGUUGGAGCCGGAUUACAUAUAUAACAAAAUGAACAUGGAUCGCGGCAUACAAAUGCUAGCAGGGAACUACUACCCACCUUGCCCUGAGCCUGAGCAUGCCAUUGGUAUACCCCAUCAUACCGAUCAUGGUCUAGUCACUCUCCUCAUCCAAAAUGAAAUGAAUGGCCUCCAAGUCGAGCACAAUGGAAAAUGGCUCACUGUCAAUGGCCCUAAGAAUGGCUUUUUUGUUAACCUUGCAGACCAAAUGCAGGUACAUUGCUUGAAAUUUUCUUAAUCUUAUACUUCUGUACAUCCAUAACAUUGGUGAUUACUUCAUUGCUUCUGUGGAAUCUAAUUUAAUUUGUAUAAUUGUUCGUAGAUUCUUACAAACGGUAAGUACAAGAGUGUGAUGCAUCGCGCCACCGUGAACAACAAAGCUACGAGGAUAUCGAUAGCCAUACCACAUGGACCAUCCGUAGACACGGUCAUAGCACCGGCACCUGAGUUGUGUGAAAGAGAAGGCAAAGCUCCAAAGUACCUUGCUAUGAACUACAAGGAAUACAUACAACUUCAGCAAGGCGGCAAGAACUACAAGUUCUUUUUGAACAACGGCAAGAACUACAUGAAGUCCACAUUUGAUCACAUCC
This 11117-nucleotide long non-coding RNA is filed under the name Fragaria vesca (wild strawberry). Its description in RNAcentral is "long non-coding RNA (FVES_LNC002562)". Lineage: Eukaryota; Viridiplantae; Streptophyta; Magnoliopsida; Rosales; Rosaceae. The record is from RNAcentral.